UACGUAGGUGGCAAGCGUUGUCCGGAUUUACUGGGCGUAAAGAGCGCGCAGGCGGUCGUGCAAGUCGCGUGUGAAAGCCCCCGGCUCAACUGGGGAGGGUCACGCGAUACUGCUCGACUCGAAGGCAGGAGAGGGAAGUGGAAUUCCCGGUGUAGAGGUGAAAUUCGUAGAUAUUGGGAAGAACACCGGUGGCGAAGGCGGCGACCUGGUCCAUUACUGACGCUGAGGCGCGACAGCGUGGGGAGCGAACAGG
Molecule: ribosomal RNA, 253 nt
Filed under: uncultured bacterium
Lineage: Bacteria
Description: partial 16S ribosomal RNA
Rfam family: Bacterial small subunit ribosomal RNA
Source: RNAcentral